This is a microRNA precursor of Gossypium arboreum, 144 nucleotides long. It matches the Rfam family "MIR7502 microRNA precursor family". Lineage: Eukaryota; Viridiplantae; Streptophyta; Magnoliopsida; Malvales; Malvaceae. The record is from Rfam.
UAUUAAAAAUUUCAUCAAUUUUUAUUUUUAAAAACUGGCGUGAUUAACAGAAUAACUAAAUAGUUAAAUGUUUUGUGCCACGUAUAACUCAUUUUGAAGUAUAUGAACGGGUUUUUAACAGAGAAAUAGAUGAAAUUUUUAAUA